GACGAACGCUGGCGGCGUGCUUAACACAUGCAAGUCGAACGGAAAGGCCCUGCUUUUGUGGGGUGCUCGGGUGGCGAACGGGUGAGUAACACGUGAGUAACCUGCCCUUGACUUUGGGAUAACUUCAGGAAACUGGGGCUAAUACCGGAUAGGAGCUCCUGCUGCAUGGUGGGGGUUGGAAAGUUUCGGCGGUUGGGGAUGGACUCGCGGCUUAUCAGCUUGUUGGUGGGGUAGUGGCUUACCAAGGCUUUGACGGGUAGCCGGCCUGAGAGGGUGACCGGCCACAUUGGGACUGCGAUACGGCCCAGACUCCUACGGGAGGCAGCAGUGGGGAAUAUUGCACAAUGGGCGGAAGCCUGAUGCAGCAACGCCGCGUGCGGGAUGACGGCCUUCGGGUUGUAAACCGCUUUCGCCUGUGACGAAGCGUGAGUGACGGUAAUGGGUAAAGAAGCACCGGCUAACUACGUG
Molecule: ribosomal RNA, 468 nt
Filed under: uncultured bacterium
Lineage: Bacteria
Description: partial 16S ribosomal RNA
Rfam family: Bacterial small subunit ribosomal RNA
Source: RNAcentral